GCCCCGGUAGCUCAGCUGGAUAGAGCGUCCCCCUCCUAAGGGGAAGGUCGGAGGUUCGAAUCCUCUCCGGGGCGCCA
This 77-nucleotide transfer RNA is filed under the name Lysobacterales bacterium. RNAcentral's name for it is "Xanthomonadales bacterium tRNA-Arg". It matches the Rfam family "tRNA". Rfam says of the family: Transfer RNA (tRNA) molecules are approximately 80 nucleotides in length. Their secondary structure includes four short double-helical elements and three loops (D, anti-codon, and T loops). The record is from RNAcentral. Lineage: Bacteria; Pseudomonadati; Pseudomonadota; Gammaproteobacteria; Lysobacterales.